UGGGGAAUAUUGCACAAUGGAGGAAACUCUGAUGCAGCGACGCCGCGUGAGGGAUGGAGGCCUUCGGGUUGUAAACCUCUUUUAUCGGGGAGCAAGCGAGAGUGAGUUUACCCGUUGAAUAAGCACCGGCUAACUACGUGCCAGCAGCCGCGGUAAUACGUAGGGUGCAAGCGUUAUCCGGAAUUAUUGGGCGUAAAGGGCUCGUAGGCGGUUCGUCGCGUCCGGUGUGAAAGUCCAUCGCUUAACGGUGGAUCCGCGCCGGGUACGGGCGGGCUUGAGUGCGGUAGGGGAGACUGGAAUUCCCGGUGUAACGGUGGAAUGUGUAGAUAUCGGGAAGAACACCAAUGGCGAAGGCAGGUCUCUGGGCCGUUACUGACGCUGAGGAGCGAAAGCGUGGGGAGCGAACAGGAUUAGAUACCCUGGUAGUCCACGCCGUAAACGGUGGAUGCUGGAUGUGGGGCCCGUUCCACGGGUUCCGUGUCGGAGCUAACGCGUUAAGCAUCCCGCCUGGGGAGUACGGCCGCAAGGCUAAAACUCAAAGAAAUUGACGGGGGCCCGCACAAGCGGCGGAGCAUGCGGAUUAAUUCGAUGCAACGCGAAGAACCUUACCUGGGCUUGACAUGUUCCCGACGGUCGUAGAGAUACGGCUUCCCUUCGGGGCGGGUUCACAGGUGGUGCAUGGUCGUCGUCAGCUCGUGUCGUGAGAUGUUGGGUUAAGUCCCGCAACGAGCGCAACCCUCGCCCCGUGUUGCCAGCGGAUUAUGCCGGGAACUCACGGGGGACCGCCGGGGUUAACUCGGAGGAAGGUGGGGAUGACGUCAGAUCAUCAUGCCCCUUACGUCCAGGGCUUCACGCAUGCUACAAUGGCCGGUACAACGGGAUGCGACGCGGCGACGCGGAGCGGAUCCCUGAAAACCGGUCUCAGUUCGGAUCGCAGUCUGCAACUCGACUGCGUGAAGGCGGAGUCGCUAGUAAUCGCGAAUCAGCAACGUCGCGGUGAAUGCGUUCCC
Molecule: ribosomal RNA, 1010 nt
Filed under: uncultured bacterium
Lineage: Bacteria
Description: bacterial SSU rRNA
Rfam family: Bacterial small subunit ribosomal RNA
Source: RNAcentral